GAUGAAGAACGCAGCGAAAUGCGAUAAGUAAUGCGAAUUGCAGAAUUUCCGUGAGUCAUCGAAUCUUUGAACGCACAUUGCGCCCCCUGGUAUUCCGGGGGGCAUGCCUGUCCGAGCGUCAUUGCUGCCCUCAAGCACGGCUUGUGUGUUGGGCCCCGUCCCCCGAUCCCGGGGGACGGGCCCGAAAGGCAGCGGCGGCACCGCGUCCGGUCCUCGAGCGUAUGGGGCUUUGUCACCCGCUCUGUAGGCCCGGCCGGCGCUUGCCGAUCAACCCAAAUUUUUAUCCAGGUUGACCUCGGAUCAGGUAGGGAUACCCGCUGAACUUAAGCAUAUCAAUAAGCGGAGGA
Molecule: unclassified non-coding RNA, 347 nt
Filed under: soil metagenome
Description: partial contains 5.8S ribosomal RNA, internal transcribed spacer 2, and large subunit ribosomal RNA
Rfam family: 5.8S ribosomal RNA (bases 1-121)
Source: RNAcentral